Long non-coding RNA from Crotalus tigris (Tiger rattlesnake), 3202 nucleotides. RefSeq lists it as uncharacterized. The transcript is spliced from 4 exons. Lineage: Eukaryota; Metazoa; Chordata; Lepidosauria; Squamata; Viperidae. The record is from RefSeq and is a predicted model, not a curated record.
CAUUUGAGCAAUGUCCUUUCCUAUGUACCAGUGAAUGUGCUAUCAGGAGGACACCAAACAUUCUUUUCUAAUCUAGGAUUAACUGCCCAGAAGAGCAAAAAUAGUCAACAUACCAGCCUCUCCAACAUGCUAAGAAGAGCUUAAAACUGUUCAGCAGCAAAGCAGAUAACAUAAUAGGAACACUAAACUGAAGUUAACUCAAAUUGAAACAACAGAAGUUAACAGAAACAUGACCGACUCUGCAAAUCAAGUAGUGUAAUGGAAAAUAAUAUAUGAGAAGUUCAACUUGGAAGCAGAUGAAGAUGGAUUUACUGGGGUGGAAAUCCAGAGAAAUCCAGCAUGAGAGGGAGUCUCUAACCCAACAGACCUAGAAGUGGGAAAAUCCAGUUGCUUGAGGGCCAAACAUGAGCUACGUUACCUGAAGAGAUGGCUUGGACAGCUGGAGGAGCUGCCGCUCUUCCGCAGCCGAGUGAAGCCUCGUUGACAGAAGUCUCACCCUCCAGGGUGACUUUCGACCCGCAUAAGGGUGUACCGGUGGAGGGAAAACUAGCUGACAGGGAGAUGAGUCUCCUCGUUCAGCUAGGGAUGCCGCGAUCCGGAACUGGAAGUCAACUUUGAGAAAAUCUUAACCAGAGACUCUUUCUUUCUGAAGAGGAGCGGACUGUCAACUUUAGAAUGAGCAUGGCUGCAGCCAUUUUUUCCUUCUCAUUUCUAUUUGACACAUAGCAUGGAGGCAGGGGGGUUGCCAGGGUUUGUGCUAGACAAAACAGACUUUCUCUCUCAGACUUUCUCUCAUGGGAACCAAGGUCAUCGGCUGCUCCCGGGACUGCGGGCUGGGCGUUUCAUGAAAGCCCCACUAACAUGCUGAAUGGGGAAAUGUAGUUGCUUGCAUAGCCUUAAGGGUGGGAUUUCUUAACUUUGUAUUGGGGAAUUGUUAUGCAUCUCUUCAGACUUGGUUUUACUUUUGAAGUGCCGAAUUUGUAAGACUCAGAGUUCUGCUUUAUUUGUCUCUGUCUGUCAGAACCAUGACAAGUAGUUUAUGUUUGAUAUUAAUUUGUUGUUAAGUGAACAAGAAUCAAAUAGUUUUUUAAUGAAUAAAUAUUUUUACAAUAGAAAAAAUGUCUGUUCACUUUUAGUCAAACUAUUUUUUUUUGAGUAUCUAUGUGUAAAGUGACUGACUAUUCCUCUCCUCUUCUCACUCUUCCAGUAAAUUCAGCUAAGACAAAACAGUCAGGUUUUAGCUGUAAAUCUUUAAUAAAUCUCUGUUUAAAAUCAGUAUGUUCAUUAUUGUUAGAUAAUCUUAUAAAACACACCCAAAUGUGGAACUUAUACAAUAGGAAAGUCUUGGGUGAAAAAAGGAGAUGGCCAUAAAUAGCACUCUCAGAAGUUAAUAUUAAUGUCCUUCCAGAAAACUAGACACCUCAGAGCUACACACAAUAGAAUAAAAUGAUUUUGUACAUAAUCCCAUUGGUUACUAAAAAAAAUCUAUUGAAUUUAAUUGUCCUCCAUUUAAAUUAAACCACCAACCAAUCACCACAUUCAGAAUGCACAAUGACUUGUUAAUACAGCAGCCUAUGAACAGACUGGAGUGAGGAAGAUGCAUUGUUUCUCAUUUAAAUACAGUCUGCCCAAAGUGAACUAAGAAAGAAAAAAGAAACAAAAUUCAAGUCUGAUACCAAAGAUAAGCAUUUAUGAUAGUCCACUUGUUAAGUUCCCAUGACCAGAGAGUCCCUUAUAUGAUAGAGUGCUGCAGUCAUUCACAGAUGACCUCUUGGAAAAAAGUAAGGAAAAACAAUAUGGCAUGAUUUAUGAGUGCAGAUUAGUUAGGUGAUUAUUUCAGUCAGGAAAGGUGUCCUUUCUGAUAAUAAAAUGUUUCUCCUUGUAGCUGAAUUUAUAUGUGUGUGUGUGUAAUUACUGUGCCAUGUAUGCACUUUCAUCUGCCACAUGAAAUAAUACAAUCAUAAUUAUCAUUUGUUGAUUCCAAAAACUAUAACUGGAACUACCAAAGAUUUGUGAGUUAUUUUUUAUUUCAUCCUACUUCAUUCGAUCCAUCAGGUUCGUUCAAAGGUGAAAAAUGUAAGCCUCUGCAUUUAGGCAGGAAGAACCAAAUGCAUAGGUACAAGAUACAUCCAUGGCUUAACAAUAGUCCUUGUGAGAAGGAUAUGGGAGUUUUGGUAGGCCACAAAUUACAGAUGAAAUGGCAUUGUGCUGCAGUUGGGGCUACAUCAACAGAGACAUAGUUCAAGAUCAUGAGAAGUGUUAGUACCACUCUAUUUUGAACUGGUCAGACCACAUCUGUAAUACUGUGUCCCUUUCUGGUUAUCAUAAUACAAAAAGGAAGUUAAUGGUAAUAGUAGCUAAAUCUUACAAAAGAUAGCUAAAGGAACUUGAAACUUUUAGGGUUAGGAUUGAGUCUAGAACUAUGAAGGUAUUUCUCUCUUAUCCCAAAGCUACUUUUUCAGGCGGCAACUGAAGACAAGUGCAAUUUUUUGUUUGUGUUAUAACUGCAUGUGUGUUUGUGUGAGUAAAGAAAAGGAAACAAAUAGCGAGAAAGAAUAGAUAUGCCAAGUUUUCUGCAAAAAUAACUAUCCCAAAGUACAUGUAACUGAUAUAUACUUGCAUAGUCCAUAUCUAGAGAACUGCAGCAUGCCUUUAUUUUCAGACUAAUCUUUUUAAAUCUAAUGUCAAUUCUCAAUGAGGCUGCUUAAAAUCAAACUAUAAUCUGAAUUUUUAAAAAAGAACAUUAGGCUGCAGUAUUUGAGCUUCUUUAGUAUUCUAAAAUAAGAAUUUAUUCUCUAAUUGAUAAAAUAAUUUAGUACAUCUUAGGUUAACUGCCCACUAGCUUUUUACUUGCAAGAUUAAUUAGCUACAAUGAACUGUCUCCUAAGUUUUUGUCUCUGAUAAAUAAUAAAUAAAUAAAUAAAUAAAUAAAUAAAUAAUAAAAAUGAAAUGAUGAAAUUGUAGUGUGUUAAAAAUUCUUGUUAUAUUAAAAUCGUCUUCAAAUUAUUUGUAGUUCCACAUAGAUAAAUAAAAGGAAUUUAAAAAGACCUCAUAAAAUAUUAAUGUUUAGGUUAGGAUUUUUUUCAUUAUAAAAAAACGGGUAUGAUAAAAUAGCUAAUUAUAGGGAAAUUGUUAAAUAACUUAAUUUAUUUUCCAAGUUUAAAUAUAUUCCAAAGUAUCCGUAAAAGAACUAUAAUUUUAU